Molecule: ribosomal RNA, 434 nt
Filed under: uncultured Lachnospiraceae bacterium
Lineage: Bacteria; Bacillati; Bacillota; Clostridia; Lachnospirales; Lachnospiraceae
Description: bacterial SSU rRNA
Rfam family: Bacterial small subunit ribosomal RNA
Source: RNAcentral
ACGGGAGGCAGCAGUGGGGAAUAUUGCACAAUGGGGGAAACCCUGAUGCAGCGACGCCGCGUGAGUGAAGAAGUAUUUCGGUAUGUAAAGCUCUAUCAGCAAGGAAGAAAAUGACGGUACUUGACUAAGAAGCCCCGGCUAACUACGUGCCAGCAGCCGCGGUAAUACGUAGGGGGCAAGCGUUAUCCGGAUUUACUGGGUGUAAAGGGAGCGUAGACGGUGAGGCAAGUCUGAAGUGAAAUGCAUGGGCUCAACCCAUGAACUGCUUUGGAAACUGUCUGACUAGAGUGCAGGAGAGGUAAGUGGAAUUCCUAGUGUAGCGGUGAAAUGCGUAGAUAUUAGGAGGAACACCAGUGGCGAAGGCGGCUUACUGGGCUUUAACUGACGCUGAGGCUCGAAAGCGUGGGGAGCAAACAGGAUUAGAUACCCUGGUA